CUCAAUUCGCGGAAAUUCGACAGUUGUCCGGAUCUGUGAAUUUCCGGCCAGACAGACCAGCUACCGGAAAAGUCUCUGAAUUGGAUCGAGGUUUUGGCUACCCCACCAUUGUCAGGCAUCCCGAGCGCGUUCCCGAAGUCGGAAUCGGCAAAGGUGAGCCGGGACAGCCUUCUUCCUCCGCCCAGCCGCCACAGUGAUUGUCGUCAAGUCUGCCACAGGAGGAUAUUUUUGAGGUUAACCUGCUUCCUUUCCUCGCAGGUUGUUUAUCAAUAUUUGUGUAAUUUUAUUUACUCCUAGAAUUUCCGCAUGUGUUAGAAGUAUUUAUUUGAUUAUGGUCUGUAAUAUUAUUAUCAUGUUGGACCUGUAAACGUAUAAUGAUAUGCAUGUUUGAUGGAUUGGAUGAGGGAGCUGAGCUCCCAUUUAUUAUUAUGUUGAUGAGUAUGUGGAGGGUGAGCUGAGCUCCCCAAUUGACUAUAUAUUGUGUUUACAGGUCGGGUGAGUCGAAAACUCCCCGUUGGUAAGUCCAUUUUAUGGCCGGACUCUGUCCGUUUGUUUUCUUGAAAU
Hevea brasiliensis (rubber tree) is the source of this 564-nucleotide long non-coding RNA. RefSeq lists it as uncharacterized. Lineage: Eukaryota; Viridiplantae; Streptophyta; Magnoliopsida; Malpighiales; Euphorbiaceae. The record is from RefSeq and is a predicted model, not a curated record. The transcript has 3 exons.